AGUUUGAGUUAGUAUGCACGAUACUGCUGAGAUAUUACAUGAAGGGUACUAAAAUUAUUCAAAAAAAAAAUGUUUCUUUUUAAUUGGUUCAGUCAAAUAUUAGUUUUCAGCUUUAAAUACUUGUAAUCAAUAAUAAAUCCCUUGGAGGUUUUGCAGGUCGAUAUUAGAUGGUCUUUAUUUAUGAGGUUGAGCCUGCAAGGUAUGGAAACUUUGUUUGUAUCCGAUUUCCAGUGAUGGUGAUGAUAAAGUAGCUGUAAUCCCUAAACCUGGAAUGGCCAGAUAGUGGUGAAAUGAACUUUUGGUAGCUUUGUCAAUAGGGAUAAUAUAUUUUCUCCCUUGGCUAGUUUCACUUCGAUUUUGGUCUUAAAUUUGAAAAUUAUAAAAGUUUGAUCAUGAUGCACUCUAAGAUCAUGUCACAUAGUCACUUGAAAAUUGUAAAUUUAUAUAAAUUUUUAUGUGAUAAAGUGGAACAAUUUUAGAGUAUCACAUGUAAUGUUUUAAUAAUUGGAUAGGUGGUUGAAUAGGUUAGACCAUUGAUUUCUUAUUCAAUCAGAUUGAUCGGUUCAACCAUUGGACCAACAAUAAUUAAAAAUUCAUAACAAUCUAAAAAAAAUUAAAAAGAUAAAAAAUUAUUAAAUCGGUUCAACAUGUUCAACUGUCAAUUUCUGUUUCGGUUUUUUAUUUUCACCAAUUUCAAGUAGUGUUCGAGUCAAUUGAUUCAACCCAUUUGUUCGAACCGUUAAUCGAUCAGUUCUCGGCCCAUCUAAUUGAUCAUGUUCUAGUAACAUUGGUUAUUUUAUCAAAUCUCGACAGAAUUUGAGUUAAAUGACCAAAAUAAAUCUAAAUACCAAAUUCAAUAAUCAAAAAUAUAAAUAUAAAAAUAAUCCUAAUUAUCAAAUUCAAGUAAAAAAUUAAAUUAUAAUGGUCAAAGUUAAGCCAUUUGUUUAAACCGAAAAGCCUCGGAAAAGAAAUUGAUUAUUUUGAUAUGAAUGGUUUGAAGGUUAUUACCAAACUAAAACUGGAAAAAAAAUUAUUUAUUUUAUUUUUAAUUAUUAUAAAAAGAUAAUUUUUAUACACCUAUAAUAAUAUUUGAGACAUUUCUAACAACAUUUAAAAUUUAGAUCAUAUUUAAUUUUUUAAAUUUUAAAUUUAAAAAUUAAAAUGUAUUAAUAAUGUUAUUACUUAAUAAGACUUAGAUUGCAUUUUUAGUAAAAUUUACAAAUGUAAUUUUUUAUUAAAGACUGUUUUUAUUUAAUAAAUUAAAAUUAAUAUAUUUUCAUAUACAAUUUAAAUAUUUUAUUAAAAUAAUACUUUAAGUAAAAAAUUAUUUUUAUUUCAUGUAAGAAUAGAAUUAUUUUUACUAAAAUGUAAGACAAUAGGAUGUUUUAGAUAACUAAUUUAGUAAAGUUGUUAUUGUUAUUGUUAUAAAUGAAAAGUUGGUAUAGAUAGAAAAAAAUAAAACAUAAAAAACCAGCUUGUUAUAAUGAAAUGUUGUAAUAGAUGUUGGUUGUUAUAAAGAGUUGAUAGAGCCCACACUCUAUCAAUUUGAGAUUGAGCUUAAUAGAUGAUAAGAUAUAAAAGUAACAUGUUUUCAUCUUAUUCUUAAUACGUUUUUGGAUGAUUAAUUAUGCAAAUUAGCGAAUUUCAUGCUUCUAAUCUUUUAAAUUUAUGUUUUUAUAUUUAGGAGAGCAUUUGGGAGCGAAAGGAGCGAAAAACAAGCCAAAAUUGAACAAAUAGAGUUGUUUUCAGGAGCCACACAGGCUGGACACACGCCCAUGUGCCAUCCCAUGUCGAUUUCACAUCCUACUUCCCAAAUAUGAGGAAAACCCUAAUUUUUAAGCUUUCUAAGCAUUCUAAAGUCUAUAAAUACCCAUUAGAAGAAGACAUAAGAGGGCAAUCAGAGAAGAUCGAAGAAAACACUCGAAGAACAGCAUCGCAAUCAACUCAAAAAUGGGUCUCUAUCAAGAUCGAAGACUCUCCUUUUAAUUUCUUUCAAAGUUUUAUUGAGUUUUUUAUGUCUUGUGAUUAUUCUGACUUUGAGAUGUUUUCAUUUAGAAUUAUGAACUAAUUCCCUAGAUACCUAGGGAGGAUGAAACUUAUGAUGAAUUCUUUUAUUUAAUUUUUGUUUUUAUGCGAUAAAUAUUUGAUUCUUGUUCUCAAUUAUGUAUGCUUAUUUCUUAUUUUAAAAUUUUCGGGAAAUUAAUUCAUGUUUAAU
This 2215-nucleotide long non-coding RNA is filed under the name Gossypium barbadense (sea-island cotton). RNAcentral's name for it is "long non-coding RNA (GBAR_LNC007550)". Lineage: Eukaryota; Viridiplantae; Streptophyta; Magnoliopsida; Malvales; Malvaceae. The record is from RNAcentral.